RNAcentral lists this ribosomal RNA (496 nucleotides) under uncultured bacterium. RNAcentral describes it as "partial 16S ribosomal RNA". It matches the Rfam family "Bacterial small subunit ribosomal RNA", at positions 28 to 507 of the family's 1533-position model. The record is from RNAcentral.
GAUGAACGCUGGCGGCGUGCCUAAUACAUGCAAGUCGAGCGAACGGACGAGAAGCUUGCUUCUCUGAUGUUAGCGGCGGACGGGUGAGUAACACGUGGAUAACCUACCUAUAAGACUGGGAUAACUUCGGGAAACCGAGCUAAUACCGGAUGAUAUUUUGAACCGCAUGGUUCAAAAGUGAAAGACGGUCUUGCUGUCACUUAUAGAUGGAUCCGCGCUGCAUUAGCUAGUUGGUAAGGUAACGGCUUACCAAGGCAACGAUGCAUAGCCGACCUGAGAGGGUGAUCGGCCACACUGGAACUGAGACACGGUCCAGACUCCUACGGGAGGCAGCAGUAGGGAAUCUUCCGCAAUGGGCGAAAGCCUGACGGAGCAACGCCGCGUGAGUGAUGAAGGUCUUCGGAUCGUAAAACUCUGUUAUUAGGGAAGAACAUAUGUGUAAGUAACUGUGCACAUCUUGACGGUACCUAAUCAGAAAGCCACGGCUAACUACGUG